CACUUGUUCUAAGCUGCUGAUGAUAGUGCUUGGAGCAGCGCUGCUGCCAAAAAGAGCUGAGUAUGGGCGUCCCCCCCCCUCCUGGAUGGAACCAGGAGGAUCUAUUACUCUGUCAGAGCUCCUCUCCCUCUGGGGAACCUCGUCUGCUUCCAGCUUAGCAGGCAUUGAGACCUAGUGGACCAGAGCUGCCCAUCUGAGGAGGGGAAACCCACCAUGUCAUAGUGUAAAGUAUGUUCACCCUGUUACCCGCUGACAGCUGCUGAGCAUUGACAUGUUAACAUGUAUAUCUGUGAAAUAAAGCUGCUUUCUAUUGGCUCAUGAA
This is a long non-coding RNA of Gymnodraco acuticeps, 322 nucleotides long. RefSeq lists it as uncharacterized. Lineage: Eukaryota; Metazoa; Chordata; Actinopteri; Perciformes; Bathydraconidae. The record is from RefSeq and is a predicted model, not a curated record. The transcript has 4 exons.